UGGAGCUUGUUGUAGUUAUUUGUUUUUGUUGUUGGUUGAAGUUGAAUUGCCAUGGGGGAUAGUACACCGAAUACGAUGAAUCUUGAUCUGAAUUUGGGACCUGUUGAAAGUCCUACUGAUGAUUCAGAGUCUGUUCCUGCAACAUUUCCCAUUGAGGAUAUGAAUUUAGAGGAUUUGUUAGAUGGUUAUCGAUUUAGGGAAGUGGUUAGGCAAAGGAGGAGCAGAUGGCGG
Molecule: unclassified non-coding RNA, 231 nt
Filed under: Hevea brasiliensis (rubber tree)
Lineage: Eukaryota; Viridiplantae; Streptophyta; Magnoliopsida; Malpighiales; Euphorbiaceae
Source: RNAcentral